RNAcentral lists this ribosomal RNA (253 nucleotides) under uncultured bacterium. RNAcentral describes it as "partial 16S ribosomal RNA". It matches the Rfam family "Bacterial small subunit ribosomal RNA", at positions 524 to 776 of the family's 1533-position model. The record is from RNAcentral.
UACGGAGGGUGCAAGCGUUAAUCGGAAUUACUGGGCGUAAAGCGCACGCAGGCGGUCUGUCAAGUCGGAUGUGAAAUCCCCGGGCUUAACCUGGGAACUGCAUUCGAAACUGGCAGGCUAGAGUCUUGUAGAGGGGGGUAGAAUUCCAGGUGUAGCGGUGAAAUGCGUAGAGAUCUGGAGGAAUACCGGUGGCGAAGGCGGCCCCCUGGACGAAGACUGACACUGAGGAGCGAAAGCAUGGGGAGCGAACAGG